UACGGAGGGUGCAAGCGUUAUCCGGAAUCACUGGGUUUAAAGGGUGCGUAGGCGGUGGUGUAAGUCAGUUGUGAAAUUCCCUCGCUUAACGAGUGGGACUGCGAUUGAUACUGCAUCACUUGAAUCAGGAUGAGGUAGGCGGAAUGUGGCAUGUAGCGGUGAAAUGCUUAGAUAUGCCAUAGAACACCGAUUGCGAAGGCAGCUUACUGGACCUGUAUUGACGCUGAGGCACGAAAGCGUGGGGAGCAAACAGG
Molecule: ribosomal RNA, 254 nt
Filed under: uncultured bacterium
Lineage: Bacteria
Description: partial 16S ribosomal RNA
Rfam family: Bacterial small subunit ribosomal RNA
Source: RNAcentral